AUGGCGCCGCCCAAGCUCCACGUCCUGUGCCCGUCCACCUCUAGCGGUUGGGAGGUCAAGCAUCCGCCCAUCAUUCCCUGCGACGAUGCCAGGGAAUUUGAUCUGGAGGAGUUCUUGCGGUGCUUUGAUGCUCACGCCGUCGUCCCCUUCAGGAGCUACCUGUGCUGGGUGGAUUACUCCCUUGGCAUCCUGUUCUGCGAUGUGUUCGACGAGAGCCCCAAGCUCCUAUACCUGGAACUCCCAGCUCAAUUGCCCCGAUUGCAUCGCGAAGUCAUGGGCCGAGCAUGGGCGGAUGCGUACCACGCCGUCGGCGUCACAGAGGGCGAGGUCAUGAAAUUUGUCAAACUUGUCCAUGACAAGGACAGGUUCUCUGAAACCAUCGGACCUGCCACUGAUGCUUUCACCAUCACCUCCUGGGCACUUAGAAUAACAGAAAGCGACGGCAUGAUGAAGUGGGAGCAGGAUGCAUUUCUUAGAUCCAGCGAGAUCGGGUUUGAUGGAUUCACGCAUCUUCCUCGUGUUGAGUCCUCUGGAUUGGUUAGGGUUAAGGAUUCACGGUGGUCUCACGGUGGUCUUUACCUUUUCCUUGAAUCGAUGAGCCCGAGCUGGUGGCCAUGGUGGUGCUAUGUCGCACGGGGGUGA
RNAcentral lists this ribosomal RNA (642 nucleotides) under Triticum aestivum (bread wheat). RNAcentral describes it as "partial small subunit ribosomal RNA". The record is from RNAcentral. Lineage: Eukaryota; Viridiplantae; Streptophyta; Magnoliopsida; Poales; Poaceae.